Molecule: ribosomal RNA, 495 nt
Filed under: uncultured bacterium
Lineage: Bacteria
Description: partial 16S ribosomal RNA
Rfam family: Bacterial small subunit ribosomal RNA
Source: RNAcentral
GACGAACGCUGGCGGCGUGCCUAAUACAUGCAAGUAGAACGCUGAAGGAGGAGCUUGCUUCUCUGGAUGAGUUGCGAACGGGUGAGUAACGCGUAGGUAACCUGCCUGGUAGCGGGGGAUAACUAUUGGAAACGAUAGCUAAUACCGCAUAAUAGCAGUUGUUGCAUGACAACUGUUUGAAAGGUGCAAUUGCACCACUACCAGAUGGACCUGCGUUGUAUUAGCUAGUUGGUGGGGUAACGGCUCACCAAGGCGACGAUACAUAGCCGACCUGAGAGGGUGAUCGGCCACACUGGGAAUGAGACACGGCCCAGACUCCUACGGGAGGCAGCAGUAGGGAAUCUUCGGCAAUGGACGGAAGUCUGACCGAGUAACGCCGCGUGAGUGAAGAAGGUUUUCGGAUCGUAAAGCUCUGUUGUAAGAGAAGAACGAGUGUGAGAGUGGAAAGUUCACACUGUGACGGUAUCUUACCAGAAAGGGACGGCUAACUACGUG